AUCAUUUGAAGAUGUUCCUUGAGGAGAGUUGAAAAAGUGAGUUGUAUCUCCAAUUGUGGAGCAUUUUGCUUUCUUUCUCAUCAAGAUGACAAACUGCACCCUGAUUUAUUUUUAUUCACUACUCCAUACUCCUACUGUUAUAAAUGUCCUAACAUUCAGAAUAUGCACCAUGGACUCCAGGAUGAGAACUUUUCAAGGCAUUGUAUGUAUCUUUGGACACUCUUUACAGAAUCCUGGCCAGGCAGUCAUCUUGGUUCUGCUGGUCCACUUCCUAUGUUGGAGGUUUGCUACCACUGGAGAGAGAGCCAUUUUUCUUUCCUCCAAGGAGUAAUUCUUAGACAUCUCUUUCAUGCAUUGAUCUGAAAUAUGACUCCCUGUGGAUUAAAAUAUCAUCAAAUGUGUAACUAUUUGAUGAAUGAGUCAUAUUACAGCAUGUUCUGGACAACAAGUUCCCCAUAAGAUUCUGGACUACUGUAGGACCGAGCCUGGAACUGAAGAAUUUGUCUUUGGUUGCUCAGUGCCUAACAGGACCUGAGGUACAGAGGACCCUUGAUAAAUCUUGAACGACUGACUAAAUGAAUUAAGUGAAUUUGCAGCAACGCGGCAAACAAGAAGAGACCGAAUCACAUUAUUAUUUUCAAAAGCAGCAUUUAUAAAGUUUAUAACUCAGUUUGUCACUGAGCAAAUCUAGUCUGUACCUUCAGACCCCAGCGAUGCCCCUGUGUUGUCACAGCUUCAGAAAACUUGAAUUUCUAAAACACACUGAUGUCAUUUUCAGGGUACAGAUUGGACUGUCAUCCAGCAUCUGCCCCCAUUUCCAGCCACUGACAGAACUGCAAGGAGCUAGAGCAGGAGGCUGGUGGAAAACGAUAGCUGAUGAUGGGAACCACAGAGACUGACAAUCUGGGUUCUAAUCCUGGCCGUUCCAUUUGUUUGCUUUGUGACUUUGGGCAAGUUACUUGCUCUCUCUCUACCUGUAAAGUAGAUAUGAGUAAAUGUGAGCAUUUAAUGAAUUGAAGCCCCUAAAGCUCUUGGAACAGAGCCAGGCAUGUUGUAAACAUUCAGUAAGUAUUGGCUUUCAUCCUCGUUUAGAGGAAGGAGCAUAAGCUUUGAGUAAGGCAAGCCAGGCUUUUAAUGCAUACUUUAGCCCUUUUUCUUGGGUAAUCAUUUAAUUUCACUAAACUUGUUUCAUCUUGUGUAAAAUGUAGAUAAUAACAUAGUGGUGGGGGAAAUUCUAUUUAAAACUAAAGACGACUACAGCCUUCAGAUUCCAAAGACUCUAAUUUAGGAAAAUACCUUGAUGAGCCUGCUUUGGAUAUGAAGAAGGAAGCCCCAGAGAGAGAACUAAAUCACUGUGCAUGGUGAAGAAAGAAUUUUGAGCAUUCCCCAGAGCUUGAGAUGAAAGCACCAAGCCCAGGAAGGAGAGAAAUCCAGCAAAAUAGCCAAAAAUCUGGGGCCCUCUUUGGGACAAGAGUCUUCAUAUUCAAUGUUGAGCAGUUACUGGGCACCACAGUGAAGUGUCCCUUACCCUUUCACCAGAAUAUAGGUAGAUGUGUGUUAUGUAAGCAAUCAUAUGUGGGUGAUGUGUUUUGGGUACAGGAGAAGGGAACAAAAACACAAGAGAAAUGAGGAGAAGAGAUGAAGAAUUUGGCCCGGGUAGGAAAAUAGAAUGUGAGGUAGGGAAAAGAAACCUGGAGAAGUGGGAAAGAUCCCCAGAUUUAUCACCAAUGUGCGAGAUGACAAUUAAGCACUUUUAUUUUAUUCUGAUCUAAACAAACAAACCAACAAAACCCCAAAGCCCCUAGAGUCAGUUAAAGAACCUAAGGACACUGGCAUUUGUGUUACCCACUUAGUAGGAACUUUUUUCCCCCUUUUAUAGCCACACCUGCAGCAUUUGGAAGUUUCUGGGCUAGGGGGGUCGAAUGGGAGGCACGCUGUGGCCUACUCCACAGGCACAGAAACACCAGUUCUGAGCCAUACCUGUGACCUAUGCUGCAGCUUGCAGCAACAUAACCACUGAGCGAGGCCAGGACUGAACCCGCAUCCUCAUGGAGACAAUGUUGGGGCCUUAACCUGCUGAGCCACAAUGGGAACUCCCCAGCAGGACUUUUGUGACAAUUAGUGUUAAUGGAUGGAUAUAAACUCCUAUCAACCAUUCACCCUGUUAAUUCAUAUAUUAUUUAAUGAAUAUUUAUCUAAUGAAAGGAAGCUGGGCAGAGAGCAGCUGGUCUAUGUUGGGGGCAGUGGAGCAUACAGGUUCACUUAUCGUGCUUAACAUCCCUAACCUACUCCCCUCAUCUAUCCAGCCCUGGCCUCUGUCGUUCUGCACACUCCCUGAGCCUUCAGGAGUGUCAGGGCUGUGCCUCCUGGGGAGCAUAGGCAGGCUGGUGUGAUGAGAAAAGAGUUUUUCCAAGUCAUGUUCAUGCAAGAGAAUACUUCAAGACUGAAAGUUUUAAAAUUCUUUUAUUAAUCUACUCAGUUAAGAGUGACAAGCAGGGUUCUAAAAACAUGGAGUUAUUUUAUCUACGAUCCAUUUUCCAGUAAGUGACUACCCAGUUAGCUGAAGCACAAGAAUAGGUAAUGGCUUUGUUUUCCUAAGAUGUAGUCAUUCCGAUUAUUUUUAGAUGAAUGAUUCGGAGCCAGAAGUAUAACUCAUAAUUAUGUUGCUAUGAUUCUACAACCAGUUGUUUGGUGGAAUUAGUUUGACCGUGACAACUUUAAAGUCACCACAUUUUCUGAAAAAAAUCAGCAGAUAAAAACUGAAAAUAAAAGAUUCCAUGACACGAAGUGCUGUUUCCUGCUAUUAUCUCACAUCUUUCUCCUCUGAAGCUUGCCUGCUGCCUUCCCUUAGGCUCUUUCCUGGUUUCCAGCUCUUACAAGGCUCCCCCAGGUACUUAAGCCCACUGACAAACCACCGAAUGCUCCAGGAAGCAUUCCUAAAGACCCCAGCCUGAGGAGCUGCUCUCUUCCUCUUAAUUCAUGCAUUGAUUGUGGAUUGGCUACAGCCUUCCUUAGAACUCCUCAUUCUCUCCCUUGAAUUUUGGUUUAUUUUCAAAUAAAUCUCAUUAUUUCCAAAGCUAGUUUUGGUCUAUGUAAAAAUUUUACAUUACAAAAAUUAUAUAUCAAUAUUAUCAAAAAUUUGGAAGAGAGAGGAAAGAAAAAUAUUCAUAAUCUCAUUAUCUUAACACUAACUCUGUACUCAUCAUUUUAGGGUGUUUUUUCUUAAGCUUUUUUUCUAUGCUUAUUUUUUCACUGAUUUAAUUCCAGUGUCUGUGCAAUUUCACAGUUUGACUUUUUUGCAACUAAUGCUACAUCACCACCAUUAUGGUAAUUGCUAUAUAGUUUUCAUAAAUGUUACUUUAAAGCCUGUGUAAUGUUGACUACUAUCAACAUUUUAGAUUGUUAAUUAUAGUCCACUAUUAUAAAUGGUACUGCAGUUGACAUCUUUAUGCAUGUAGUUUUCUCAGUGUGUGUAUUAUAUGUAUACAUGCAUGUGUAUUUCAAUUUUUUUUUCCCUUAAGCUAGUAUCCCAAAAGGAAAAUUACCGAAUCAAAGAGUAUGAUUAUUUUUAAGGUUUUUGAAACAUAUUGCUAAAUUGGUUUUCUAAAGAGUUGGACCAGUUUAUAUUACCAGAAACAUAUGAGAGUAUCAGUUUCUCCAGACUUUUACCAAAAUUAUUUCUUAAUUAUUAGUCUUCAUAUAAUCAAAAUAAGAUGACAUUUGUUCACGGUUUAAAUUUUUUACUAAAGCAUACAGAAAAGUAUGGAGGAAAAAAUUAGUCCAUGGCCCUGAUUUAUCGAAUUUUAAUACAUUCCCAUUGUACUAGUUUGUACUACAUUGUACUAGUUUUAUAAAAAUAAAAUAUUACAUAUAUAGUGAAGUCUUUGUGUACCCCUUCCCAGUUCUACUCUCUGUACACUUUUACAGAGACGACUGGAACUGGAUGUUUACUGUUCUUUGCAUUUCCGUAUCUUUUAAUUGUUAAAUCUUUGACUACUAACAAAGUUAAACUUUUUCCUAUGGCAUAGCUACUAUGAAAGUUCUUAGGUUCUAGAGUCAGGUAUAACUGGCUUUGAGUUCCUGCUCUGCUUCUUGCUACUCAUGUCUCCUUGAACCUCUCUGUGCCUCAGUUUCCUCAUCUAGAAAAUGGAGAUAAUAAUCAUUCCUACUAUUGUUUAUGUUGCUGUGAAGCUUAACUAUGACAGUUCAGGUAAAAUUCUUGGCCCAGGGCCCAGCACUCGAUAAAGCCUUUCACUAUUACUCUAGUUUCUCUUUUGAAUUGCCCGCUCCUUGUUCUUCUGGAAAAGAUUAGCUUACAACCUGUGACACACUUUAUCAAAUAUGAUCGUAUUUACUCUUCACGACAGCUCUGUGAGAUAGUAUUGCGGUGAUCCCAUUUGAUAAAUGAGGAAACGGAGCCUGAAUGGUCCAUAGGCUAGCAGGGAGCAGAGCUGUGUCUGAACUCGGUCUCAGGAGCAGGCAGCUCACUGCCCUUCUGUGCUGCUGCCCCUUCACCUCUGAAACUAGACAUGCUUUUUCAUGAUACGAUAUCACAUCACGAGCCCAUAAGGUAGUUUUAGCACAGUUCUGUAACACAGUCAUUACAGAUGGAUCCCAGUUUCUGUAUUUAUAAUUGUUUUCUUUUUCUAUCUUUUCUGAAUAUUCUGCAAGAAAUAUUUAUUGCUCUUAUAAAACCAGAUAUGCUUCUAAAUGCAUCAAAAACGUUGCCAGGAGUUUCCGUAGCAGUUCAGUAGAAGCGGAAACAAUCCGACUAGGAACCAUGAGGUUGCGGGUUUGAACCCUGGCCUUGCUCAGUGGGUUAAGGAUCCAGCAUUGCUGUGAGCUGUGGUGUAGGUUGAAGAUGCAGCUAGGAUCUGAUGUUGCUGUGGCUGUGGUGUAGGCUGGCAUCUGUAGCUCUGAUUUGACCCAUAGCCUGGGAACCUCCAUAUGCCAUGGGUGCGCCCCUAAAAAAGCGUUAAAAAAAAAGUUACCAGUUAUGUAAUAUGAUUAUAUUAUAUUGACAAUAUUAGAGAUUUAAGAUCUCUAGGCUUGGUAUUGCCUUUUUUCUGAAUUUUUAAAAAUAAGUCAAAGUAAAGAUCUUAAGCAAUUUCUGCAUCCAAAUUUCAGUGCCUGAAUGUAUGAAUCUAAAACAUUCUAAUUAAAAUAACCUCAAAAUGAUCCACUGUAUUUAAUAGGUAGCUAGAGUAAUAUGAACAUUGUAUGAUUUAUGAAAACUUAAUUUUAAAAGAAAAAUGUUACUAAAAUGUAUUUAUAAACCAUAAGUCAUGAAACUUUAUCUUGUAUUGUUUUUUUUUUUGAGGCACAAGAAAAAAGUGCCCUGGAUAUAGCUUUUAAACUACUUUGCAUGCAUUAAUAGGACACAUUAAUAAGUAUCAGCUCUGCUUAUACAAAUUUAAAUUACAGGAAUAUUUUUUUUCUUUUUACAGCUGCACCUGAGGCAUAUGGAAGCUCCUGGGCUAGGAGUCGAACUGGAGCCGCAUCUAAGCCCCAGCCAUGGCAACACCAGAUCCUUAACCCACUGAGCUAGGCGAGGGGCCAAACCAGCAUCCUUACAGAGACAACGUCGGGUCCUUAACCUUCUGGGCCGCAACAGGAACUCCGGGAACAUUUUUUAAGGUGAUAUUUUAUGGUAAUGAUAUUUUUCUCAGUUUGUCAAUACUCGUUUUUCCUUUGAACACACUGAUGUUGCUCAUAUUAAGUGACAUUCUCCUUAUCAUAUCUAAGAUUCAGAGAACCCAAAAGGGGUGGGUGUUAAUGAGGAGUCACACCCAACAUGACAAACCCCCAGGCAUGGCAGAAUGAGGUACCAUUAAUGGCAACUAGAGGACCAGAGAGUACCUCAAGACUCAGGAAAAGUGUGUUAUGGACACAAGGUUAUGCCAAGGCUAUUUACUGAACUAAACACUGAAGUAUUUUGAAAAGACCAAUAUAGAGCCUGCCAAUCUAAGUCCAGUGUUUGUUUUGGUUUUACUCCAACAGGAGAAUAAUCUGGUUCUUUUUUUUUUUUUUUUCUCCCAGAAAACACAGGGUUCAGGUAAAUGGCAGUAUGGGAGUCUAUAAAAACCAUCACUUUAUAAAUGACAGUCUGCCUGUCACCUGGCGAUCUGCCAAUUCUCCCAGCUAUUCACUGGAGCAAUACUCUGAGUCUGGCCUCUUGCCAGUGUCUGAAAAGGGCUCAAGCCAUGGGAGCUUCUCUGUGGCUCUCACUGCAGGUCUCCUUUCGUGGACCUUUUCCAGGAGGGUGGCAGUCACUUCAGCAGAAAGCCACCUCGCAACCCACGAAGUUUACCUCUUACUGGAGACUGUGUUAGCAGACGAAUGCCCCCACAUUCCAAAAUAUUUUAAGGAAAUUCAUCAUAAGCCUCUGGAUGAAAAGGCAACAGAAAAACUACAGUGCCUGGUAGGUCCUUACAGGGGGAUAAAUACCUCUGCCCUGAGGUAUUUCACAGAGUUGCACAUGCUCAUCUGCUAACUACGACUCAUUUCCUUUAUGAAAUUUUAAGCAAUCUGUUCUAAGAGAUGGUAUGGAAGAAGAUGAAAAUUCCUUUUUAAAAAAACAAUGUGUUAAAACCCAAACUCAAAAUCAGAGCAAAAAUACAUUGCUCUUCUCUGCUUGGAUUUUCUAGAAACAGCUUCAGGCAGCAGGGUGAAUUCCGGGGGCCGUUUUAGGGCAAGCCGGGGUGGGAUUAGAUGUUCCAGCCUGUACAGUUCUCCUAAGCCUGCCAUGAUCUGUAACUUAGCUCUUGGGCCUGGGCCAGAACCAGACCAACAUUCAAGGGUGAGCAAAGAAGGCAGCCGCCUUUGGGCAACUGCUGUGCAGAAUUCUCUGGAUAAUGCCUUUCACUCUGUUCUCCCCAACACUGGUCAAACACCCUCAAUCCAUCCUCUGCUUCCUUAGCGUCACUGUAGGUCUCUCCUGCUGAAGUUACAUACCUUUUUAAGAUUAUGAAAAUAAAUGCUAACCAUGCUAUUUUUGGGUCUCAGUUGAAAACAAUUAUCCUUUAGCAAUUUUCACAGUAUAAAUAAGGCUAAAGUUUGCUCUAUAACUUCAUUAAGAGAGUAUCUGUAAUGGGGGAAAAAGUACCAAAUUAUUUAAUGUAAAGAUUUAUAUAACAUCCCAACUAGGAAAAUGUCAUAUAAAUUUAUGUAUAUCAUAUAUGUAUCUUUCAUAAUUUGUUUUGUCAUCUUUCAUAAUAUAUGUAUGAGGAGUGUGAAUUUAAUUUUAGAUGCUUUAUUCAUUGAUAAUCCAUCUCAGAUUCUCUGUGAGCACUCAUGAUAAUGAAUGUAUUUGAUGUUCAGGUGGCUUCUCUGUGCUUUCAUUUUGCAGUUUUGCAGCUGAGUAAUCGAUAAUUCAAGGUACACAGAACAUUAAAAAAAAGUCUCAGUUAUUAUAAUGAAAGUACAAAUUGGUUUUUCCAGGCUUUUAAAAACUUUAAAGCCUUACUGGGUUGUAAGGAAAGUCUAUAUAAGUUUUUCCUUCUGAAUUAAGUUCUAGGCAGUACGAUAAAAUAGAGUCCCCAAGAGUUCUCCCGUGGCUCAGCAGGUUAAGGAUCCCAUGUUGUCACUGUAGUGGCUUGGGUCACUGCUGUGGCAUGGGUUUGAUCCCUGGCUGGGAACUUCUGCAUGGCGAGAGUGUAGCCUCCUCCCACCAAAAAAAAAAAAAAAAAAAAAAAAAA
RNAcentral lists this long non-coding RNA (7697 nucleotides) under Sus scrofa (pig). RNAcentral describes it as "lncRNA (ENSSSCG00030030943.1)". The record is from RNAcentral. Lineage: Eukaryota; Metazoa; Chordata; Mammalia; Artiodactyla; Suidae.